This 596-nucleotide unclassified non-coding RNA is filed under the name Hevea brasiliensis (rubber tree). The record is from RNAcentral. Lineage: Eukaryota; Viridiplantae; Streptophyta; Magnoliopsida; Malpighiales; Euphorbiaceae.
AAUAAUAGAAACCCUAGGUCCUAUAUAUAAUAUUUGUGAAAUUUUACUCUUUCUUGAGUGUGGAUGAGUAUCGGCUUGGUAAUUGUCUUGAGUUUGGGGUUAUCUCUGCCAAAAUAGUUUAAGUCAAUUUAGUUUGACUCAAGUUUAUAGGUCCAAUUGUCACUUGACUGUAGUGACCGAUCUAGAGUUUGGCCCUCUUCUUUGUGGCUUGGCAAUACAGGUCUAGUUCUUUUGCUAAAACAUGGAUUCACUUGGGUUUGGCUCAUUGCCCAUCAUGCUUUUUUCAGGUCCCAGAUUGUGAUAUGCUCUGAUGUCAUGUGAAAUUUUACUGACCCAGAAGUGUGGAUGACUAUCGAUAUCAAUUCUUAAGUUUGGAGUUGUCUCCACCAAAAUGGCUUAAACUAAUUUGGCAUGGCUGCCUCUUGCUUUAUAUUCUCUUUGUUUUACUGUUUUUGAUGUGGGACACCAAUUGUAAUAGUAACUUUAGGAUUGAACCUAAUUAGGAACAUACAAAUACAUAUCCUAACUAGGAAACCCAAAUCCACAAAAUUCCUAAAUAAUUAAAUACUUUCCUAAAUAAUAAUAAUAAUAAUAAU